This 394-nucleotide ribosomal RNA is filed under the name Thermoprotei archaeon. Its description in RNAcentral is "bacterial SSU rRNA". It matches the Rfam family "Archaeal small subunit ribosomal RNA", at positions 1 to 365 of the family's 1478-position model. The record is from RNAcentral. Lineage: Archaea; Thermoproteati; Thermoproteota; Thermoprotei.
CCCGAAUCCGGUUGAUCCUGCCGGACCCGACCGCUAUCGGGGUGGGGCUAAGCCAUGCGAGUCGUGCGCCCCAGGCCAUGGUGGGGCGCGGCGCACGGCUCAGUAACACGUGGCCAACCUACCCUCAGGACGGGGAUAACCCCGGGAAACUGGGGCUAAUACCCGAUAGGCAAUGGCUCCUGGAAUGGGCCAUUGCCGAAAGGGGGUUGAGGCCAUGCUCCUCAACCCCGCCUGAGGACGGGGCUGCGGCCCAUCAGGUAGUUGGCGGGGUAACGGCCCGCCAAGCCGAUAACGGGUACGGGCCGUGAGAGCGGGAGCCCGGAGAUGGGCCCUGAGACAAGGGCCCAGGCCCUACGGGGCGCAGCAGGCGCGAAACCUCCGCUAUGCGCGAAAG